CACGUAGGGCGCGAGCGUUGUCCGGAAUUAUUGGGCGUAAAGAGCUCGUAGGUGGUGUGUCGCGUCUGCCGUGAAAGCCCGGGGCUUAACUCCGGGUCUGCGGUGGAUACGGGCAGACUAGAGGCAGGUAGGGGAGAACGGAAUUCCCGGUGUAGCGGUGAAAUGCGCAGAUAUCGGGAAGAACACCCGUGGCGAAGGCGGCUCUCUGGGACGGUACUGACGCUGAGACGCGAAAGCGUGGGGAGCGAACAGG
This 253-nucleotide ribosomal RNA is filed under the name uncultured bacterium. RNAcentral describes it as "partial 16S ribosomal RNA". It matches the Rfam family "Bacterial small subunit ribosomal RNA", at positions 524 to 776 of the family's 1533-position model. The record is from RNAcentral.